ACACGACCGUACCGCAAACCGACACUGGUGCGCGAGAUGAGUAUUCUAAGGCGCUUGAGAGAACUCAGGAGAAGGAACUCGGCAAAUUGACACCGUAACUUCGGAAGAAGGUGUGCCUUUAGUAGGUGAACCAUUUACUUGGGGAGCCCAAUGAGGCUGCAAAAAAUCGGUGGCUGCAACUGUUUAUUAAAAACACAGCACUCUGCUAAGACGAAAGUCGACGUAUAGGGUGUGACGCCUGCCCGGUGCUGGAAGAUUAAAUGAUGGGGUGCAAGCUCUUGAUUGAAGUCCCAGUAAACGGCGGCCGUAACGAUAACGGUCCUAAGGUAGCGAAAUUCCUUGUCGGGUAAGUUCCGACCUGCACGAAUGGCGUAAUGAUGGCCACACUGUCUCCUCCUGAGACUCAGCGAAGUUGAAAUGUUUGUGAUGAUGCAAUCUCCCCGCGGAAAGACGGAAAGACCCCAUGAACCUUUACUGUAGCUUUGUAUUGGACUUUGAACAGAUCUGUGUAGGAUAGGUGGGAGGCUUUGAAGUGUGGUCGCUAGAUCGCAUGGAGCCAACGUUGAAAUACCACCCUGGUGUGUUUGAGGUUCUAACCUAGGUCCAUUAUCUGGAUCGGGGACAGUGCAUGGUAGGCAGUUUGACUGGGGCGGUCUCCUCCCAAAGUGUAACGGAGGAGUUCGAAGGUACGCUAGGUACGGUCGGACAUCGUGCUAAUAGUGCAAUGGCAUAAGCGUGCUUAACUGCGAGACUGACAAGUCGAGCAGAUGCGAAAGCAGGACAUAGUGAUCCGGUGGUUCUGUAUGGAAGGGCCAUCGCUCAACGGAUAAAAGGUACUCUGGGGAUAACAGGCUGAUACCGCCCAAGAGUUCAUAUCGACGGCGGUGUUUGGCACCUCGAUGUCGGCUCAUCUCAUCCUGGGGCUGUAGCCGGUCCAAGGGUAUGGCUGUUCGCCAUUUAAAGAGGUACGUGAGCUGGGUUUAAAACGUCGUGAGACAGUUUGGUCCCUAUCUUCCGUGGGCGCUGCAGAUUUGAGGAAGCCUGCUCCUAGUACGAGAGGACCGGAGUGGACGAACCUCUGGUGUAUCGGUUGUCACGCCAGUGGCAUUGCCGAGUAGCUAAGUUCGGAAGAGAUAACCGCUGAAAGCAUCUAAGCGGGAAACUCGUUUCAAGAUUAGAUCUGCCGGGGCCUUGAGCCCCCUAAAGAGUCGUUCAAGACCAGGACGUUGAUAGGUCAGGUGUGGAAGCCA
Molecule: ribosomal RNA, 1250 nt
Filed under: metagenome
Description: bacterial LSU rRNA
Rfam family: Bacterial large subunit ribosomal RNA
Source: RNAcentral